UAGCACUUUUAAGAUCGGUCAUAAAAUAACCAAUCUUAAAAGUACUUUUAAGAUCGGUUAUUUUAUGACCGAUCUUAAAAAAGCCA
Molecule: microRNA precursor, 86 nt
Filed under: Cajanus cajan (pigeon pea)
Lineage: Eukaryota; Viridiplantae; Streptophyta; Magnoliopsida; Fabales; Fabaceae
Description: miRNA gene-KK1_046376
Source: RNAcentral